CUGUAGCUCUUCCCCUCUAGUCUCUAUGGUUGCGCCGGCGUUGGCAGUAUCGGCGCCUCACGAGUACUGAGGCUUCCAACUUUGUGGUCGAUCUCUGAGCGUUGUUGGGGCUUGGCGCUGCGCUAUGUCCGAGAAGAAGCAGCCUGUCGACUUGGGUCUCCUGGAAGAGGACGACGAGUUCGAGGAGUUUCCCGCGGAAGACUGGGCCGGCUUAGAUGAAGAUGAAGAUGCACACGUCUGGGAGGAUAAUUGGGAUGAUGACAAUGUAGAAGACGACUUCUCCAAUCAGUUACGCGCUGAGCUGGAGAAGCAUGGUUACAAGAUGGAGACUUCAUAGCCCCAGGAAUGUUCCAGGAACUUAAACAUGGACUCUACCACAUUCUCGGACAGAGAAACCAGCAUGGGAUACUUUAGAGAAUAUGUUUAUUUCAUUAUCUCUGGGAUUUAUUUUUGUUUGUAUAAUAAAAACAUAAGUAAAUAAAUGUUUUGAUCUAA
This is a long non-coding RNA of Rattus rattus (black rat), 495 nucleotides long. RefSeq lists it as uncharacterized. The transcript has 3 exons. The record is from RefSeq and is a predicted model, not a curated record. Lineage: Eukaryota; Metazoa; Chordata; Mammalia; Rodentia; Muridae.